Molecule: long non-coding RNA, 3787 nt
Organism: Scylla paramamosain (green mud crab)
Lineage: Eukaryota; Metazoa; Arthropoda; Malacostraca; Decapoda; Portunidae
Exons: 3
Source: RefSeq, a predicted model, not a curated record
AUGACGAACCAGGCUGUUGCCACGGUGACGGUGGUGGUGGGCAUGAUACAGAUGCGGGAGCUGGAGUUUGUGCCCGAUAGAGACAUGCAGCUGGACAAAUUGUGUUGGUCAUUGGUCAGACUGGAGUUUACAUGUGUACCUCCUUCACCAUCAUUGGUGGACACUUCACCAUGAGUGAUGCUUGAGCUGUCACGGUGCUGCUGCUGCUGUCUGCCAUCAUCACCCUGACACAGACCACCCUGCAGACCACCUUCAUCCUGGGUGCCACACGUCACUGCUGCUACAACUCAGAGCAACUGGAGCGCAAGCCAGGAAGGGAGAUGGUAACUCCUCACUUAAUUUGUUGUUUAUUUGAGGGCCUAAUGACAGACACAUAAUGGAAUGAGUAUUUGUGAAUGUUUGUUUAUAUCUAGAUACAGCAUUCACAUAUCUUAAGUGCCACCUUCCAAAAACAAUGUCAGCCAGAAAAAUAACUGAUGAAUCUAAUUACAUUUCAAGUCAAAAGUUUUCCUUUAACCACUUUGCUCCAGAUGCUUAAAAACAUGCGUUGCUCACAUACAUGGCGUCGCGUAGGCUCGUGAGUGGUAACUUAUCUAAUUUCUAAUAAUUUCUAAUAUAAUUUCUGUGUGUGUGUGUGUGUGUGUGUGUGUGUGUGUGUGUGUGUGUGUGUGUGUGUGUGUGUGUGUUUUAUGUAUGAGUGACACUGGCCAAGGGCAACAAAAAUCCAAUAAAAAAAUAUGCCCACUGAAAUGUCAGUCCCAUAAAAGGGUCAAAGCAGUGGUCAAAAGUUGAUGAAUAAGUGUCUUGAAACCUCCCUCUUGAAGGAAUUCAAGUCAUAGGAAGGUGGAAAUACAGAAGCAGGCAGGGAGUUCCAGAGUUUACCAGAGAAUGGGAUGAAUGAUUGAGAAUACUUGUUAACUCUUGCAUUAGAGAAGUGGACAGAAUAGGGGUGAGAGAAAGAAGAAAAUCUUGUGCAGCGAGGCCAUGGAAGGAGGGGAGGCAUGCAGUUAGCAAGAUCAGAAGAGCAGUUAGCAUGAAAAUAGCGGUAGAAGACAGCUAGAUAUGCAACAUUGCGGCGGUGAGAGAGAGGCUGAAGACAGUCAGUUAUGUUUUGUGUGUGUGUGUGUGUGUGUGUGUGUGUGUGUGUGUGUGUGUGUGUGUGUGUGUGUGUGUGCGCUGAUGCAGCUGAGAAGGUUGCCUUAUGAUAAUUAUUGACAAAUGAAGGUAAUGGAUGCGCAUGUCAUUACUACUUUUUUAAGUGUGUGUGUAUGUGUGUGUGUUAUGUACACACACACACACACACACACACACACACACACACACACACACACACACACACACAAAGAGAAGUAAUAGACACGCAUCCUUUACCUUCAUUCACCAAUAAUUGUCAUUAGACGACCUUCCCAGCUGCAUCAUUACACACACACACACACACACACACACACACACAUACACACUUACACACCACGUAGUGUAGUGGUUAGCACACUCGGCUCACAACCAAGAAGGCCCAGGUUCGAAUCCCGGGCACGGUGAGGCAGAUGGACAAGCCUCUUAAUGUGUAGCCCCAGUUCACCUAGCUACAACAAGGUACAGGAUGUAACCCGAGGUGAUGUGACUUCGCUGCCCCGGUGGGUGGUGUGUCAUUGGCCUCAGUCCUACCCAGAGAUCAGUCACCAUGAGCUCUGAGCUCUUACACACACACACACACACACACACACACACACACACACACAGAGAGAGAGAGAGAGAGAGAGAGAGAGAGAGAGAGAGAGAGAGAGAGAGAGAGAGAGAGAGAGAGAGAGAGAGAGCAAAAUGGCAAUGAAUGAAACAGGGAGGAGGGGGAACUGUGUGUGAAUGAAAACAUCAUCUAUGUGAAACAUUUGGUUGAUUAUAAAGCACAUGUGCAUCAUAUAUAGUCAUGAAUGUGGAGGAACAGCGGAGUGAGUGAUCAACCACAGAAAGGAGAGAGUUGGACAUGCGGAGAGAAUGGAAGGGGAACAAUUUGAGAAGAUAAGCAUGCAAAUAUAUAAAUGUAAGGUGGAAUAACAGUGUUUGGUGGGAAGAUGAAAGAGAGAUGUCUGUUUAUGAAGCAAAAUGGUUGUGCAAGAGAGGAAUGAUUGGAAAACCAUUCCCACCAUAGCCAACAGACCUUACACCAUAUUUUUACAAACCACAGCAUCUCUAUUCAUCCAUUCUGUGUGUCUUCUCUUCUCUCUCUCUCUCUCCACUCUUAAUGCUGUUGUGGGUCUCUGGGCUGGAGUACAUCAGAGAAAGAUUGACACAGACUUAUAUAUGAGAGGAUGUUGUCUGUAACUAUGCUAUGGGGACAUUGCAAGUUUGUGGGGUGUAGUGAAUGAAUAAGUGUGUCCUCUAUAGCAUACUUAAAAACCACACUCUCACAUGGAAAUCAAUCUCUCUCUCUCUCUCUCUCUCUCUCUCUCUCUCUCUCUCUCUCUCUCUCUCUCUCUCUCUCUCUCUCUCUCUCUCUCUCUCUCUCUCUCUCUCUCUCUCUCUCUCUCUGUCUGUCUGUCUGUCUGUCUGUCUGUCUGUCUCUCUGUCUCUCUCUCUCUCUCUCUCUCUCUCUCUCUCUCUCUCUCUCUCUCUCUCUCUCUCUCUCUCUCUCUCUCUCUCUCUCUCUCUCUCUCUGUCUGUCUGUCUGUCUGUCUGUCUGUCUGUCUGUCUGUCUGUCUGUCUGUCUGUCUGUCUGUCUCUCUCUCUCUCUCUCUCUCUCUCUCUCUCUCUCUCUCUCUCUCUCUCUCUCUCUCUCUCUCUCUCUCUCUCUCUCUCUCUCUCUCUCUCUCUCUCUCUCUCUCUCUCUCUCUCUCUCUCUGUCUGUCUGUCUGUCUGUCUCUCUCUCUCUCUCUCUCUCUCUCUCUCUCUCUCUCUCUCUCUCUCUCUCUCUCUCUCUCUCUCUCUCUCUCUCUCUCUCUCUCUCUCUCUCUCUCUCUCUCUAACUUUUCUUAAAUCUUACUAAAAUGUAUGCGGAUCACUUUCUGAUUUCAUCCCAGUGGCACACAAACCAAAAUACCUGAGUAUGGAGAUGGCUGGACUACCUCCUUUGGCCACCCCUGUUAUAUCUUAAUUUCCCACUGUCUUUCCUGUGUACUGGUUAAGCUACUCACUGCUGAAGUCCCUGGAAACUAGGUAGAAUAAUUUAGAAUGACAUGGUUAAGUUAAUGCUGAUAAAAUCUCAUUUGUAAUAUUCAGGAAGAUUGAAUUAUUCUUCCUCUGUUGAAGCAAAUGAUAUAACAUUGACUAGAAGCUUUCACAAUAUUUAUAAGCUUUCUUGUAUCAGAGAUCUUUUGAAAAUCCAACCAUUAAUUUGUAAAUACUUGUAUAGUGUAGCUGGCAUGAGGGUUGCAGUCUUCAUGAUUUACUAGUGGACAAGCAACAAGUGAUGGUGUGGCUCUGAGCCACUGUAGUAGGGAUGUUAUGGUUUAAGUGUAGGAAGUUGCAAAUGCUCACCUAACAAUUGCACCUUAGUAGAAAAACACAAACAGGAAGUUUAUGCAAGUUUUUAUCCUUAUAUAAAAUGUUGUAUUGCAUCAAACCUCCAUACAUUACUGUCUCUAUCCAGUAUGAGACCGGUGUUCAGGAAGCACAAGCAUGUGCUGAAUAACAAGAAGCCGGCAUUGGUGAAGGUGACAACAUUUCAUCUAUUUAUACAUACUUUUUAUUAUUAAAGCUUAUCUUAUAAUUAUUUCUGAAGAGAUUGACUAAUUUUUGUAGUAUUUAUGACUUAGAACUAUGAUAAAGCUAUGAAUUGAUAUAAUUCCUGAUU